Cydia pomonella (codling moth) is the source of this 1479-nucleotide long non-coding RNA. RefSeq lists it as uncharacterized. The transcript is spliced from 2 exons. The record is from RefSeq and is a predicted model, not a curated record. Lineage: Eukaryota; Metazoa; Arthropoda; Insecta; Lepidoptera; Tortricidae.
GUAAGAUUGGGUAGUUGAAAUGUCUUCGACACGGAUGUCAUAGUGGGUCAGUCAAGAACUGAGACCUGUAGUGAUAUUUUCAACUUUACAUAUACGCUUUUAGCUAUAUUGAGUGGACAAAACUUACCGGAGCGGUAGGUCAGUCUGUGCGUUCACUCCGUUGCAUUUUGCGCAUCCAUGUCGUGUUCCUGCGUUGUGCUAGGACACAGGCACUUUGUUUUCGUUGUGGUAUAUACAUUUCACAAUUGAAAUACCUUUUAAAACAUAGAAAUACCACGUAUGUAUGAUUUCGAUAAAACCGAGCAGUUGUUUAUUUCAGCGGUAGACACUGACGGCUGUCAAUGUCAUUUGGUUUUUUUUUGUCCAUGGUUCCGUAACAGACGGUCGGUCACACUUGUUGUACGGCAAUAAACAUAUACUUGUGGUUCUUUUAUCUUUUUAUAAUUUCCAAUUAUUAAUAAAGUCCGUAUUAUUAGCUUCCAAAAUGUGUAACUCUUUUUAUUGUUGAUGUUUCGAAUUAUACCGAGAGUCAAACCGGUCAGUCGCGGUAUCCAUUGAAUGGGAAGUUUUUCAUUCAUCAGCUUGUCUGUGGUUUCUCGGAUUGGAAUUUUGAUAAAUCAUUGUUCGAUCGAUCUUCAGGAUGUGAAGGAUCUUAGAAAAUCUUUGGGCAAUCAAUCUUAGGGGUAUGUAACCUACUUGAAGGUUUUAUUUCCUAAAACUGUGGUAAAUUCAAGUUAGUAAUCGUUAAUGUAAUUUUGUUACAGCUCGUCCCAAAAAGUGCAUAAUUUAGCGUCUUAGAGCCUACCUAAAAUGGCGGCUGCUAAUCUUUUCCCUUCAAUUUAACAUAACUUGCAAAACCUAAUGUAACGUCAACCACCUCUUCGUCUUGCCACGCGGUCUGCAGGCGCCGUCGUUGGUAUAGGAAAUAAUGGACCCGGCAUAAACCCCGGUAAGUCAUUUAAUCGCUUCAUUGCCGUAAUUUAAAUCGCGCUGUGCCUCAGUUUAAAAUAUAAUUUUUCUAUAAAACUAAACGUGUUAAAACAUAAUUUUUUUAACCUAGAACAUUUUCUUUGUUCUUAGGGUUUUUUCUGGACCCUGGUUCUCUAAGGCUGUGCCAUCCGGUGGCAGCGUUCUUCUUGGCAGUGUCCGUGAAGUUAAGACUUUUAUGAUAUACCUUUAGUUAAAUAUGGACCCUUUAUGCUGAACAGGUAACCUGUAAUCCCUGUGAGCAAUUGCUUACUGUUAAACAUCCCCGGAGGUUGGGGCAUAACUUUUACUUUAGACAGUGUUAUGUUAGGAAGACAAAUGUUGAUAUUGUUGUCCGUAGAUACAGAGAUGUCUAUGAUGUAUUUAGUGUAAAUUUCAAGAAAUAGUGGUGUCACUAAGAAGUAUUUAGUAUUACUUAUUUACUAAUAAAUAACUCGUGUUGACCGUAGCGGGUCAUAUAUAUUUAAGGAAUAAAGGUGUGUAUUAAAUAAA